RNAcentral lists this ribosomal RNA (498 nucleotides) under uncultured bacterium. RNAcentral describes it as "partial 16S ribosomal RNA". It matches the Rfam family "Bacterial small subunit ribosomal RNA", at positions 28 to 507 of the family's 1533-position model. The record is from RNAcentral.
GACGAACGCUGGCGGCGUGCCUAAUACAUGCAAGUCGAGCGGACGGAUGGGAGCUUGCUCCCAGACCGUCAGCGGCGGACGGGUGAGUAACACGUGGGCAACCUGCCUGUAAGACUGGGAUAACUCCGGGAAACCGGGGCUAAUACCGGAUAACUCUUUCCCUCCCAUGAGGGAAAGCUGAAAGAUGGCAUCUCGCUAUCACUUACAGCUGGGCCCGCGGCGCAUUAGCUAGUUGGUGAGGUAACGGCUCACCAAGGCGACGAUGCGUAGCCGACCUGAGAGGGUGAUCGGCCACACUGGGACUGGGACACGGCCCAGACUCCUACGGGAGGCAGCAGUAGGGAAUCUUCCGCAAUGGACGAAAGUCUGACGGAGCAACGCCGCGUGAGUGAUGAAGGUGUUCGGAUCGUAAAACUCUGUUGUCAGGGAAGAACAAGUACCGGAGUAACUGCCGGUACCUUGACGGUACCUGACCAGAAAGCCACGGCUAACUACGUG